RNAcentral lists this ribosomal RNA (496 nucleotides) under uncultured bacterium. Its description in RNAcentral is "partial 16S ribosomal RNA". It matches the Rfam family "Bacterial small subunit ribosomal RNA", at positions 29 to 507 of the family's 1533-position model. The record is from RNAcentral.
AUGAACGCUGGCGGCGUGCCUAAUACAUGCAAGUCGAGCGAACAGACGAGGAGCUUGCUCCCCUGACGUUAGCGGCGGACGGGUGAGUUACACGUGGAUAACCUACCUAUAAGACUGGGAUAACCUCGGGAAACCGGAGCUAAUACCGGAUAAUAUAUUGAACCGCAUGGUUCAAUAGUGAAAGACGGUUUUGCUGUCACCUAUAGAUGGAUCCGCGCCGCAUUAGCUAGUUGGUAAGGUAACGGCUUACCAAGGCAACGAUGCGUAGCCGACCUGAGAGGGUGAUCGGCCACACUGGAACUGAGACACGGUCCAGACUCCUACGGGAGGCAGCAGUAGGGAAUCUUCCGCAAUGGGCGAAAGCCUGACGGAGCAACGCCGCGUGAGUGAUGAAGGUCUUCGGAUCGUAAAACUCUGUUAUUAGGGAAGAACAAAUGUGUAAGUAACUAUGCACGUCUUGACGGUACCUAAUCAGAAAGCCACGGCUAACUACGUG